This is a long non-coding RNA of Gallus gallus (chicken), 506 nucleotides long. The record is from Ensembl. Lineage: Eukaryota; Metazoa; Chordata; Aves; Galliformes; Phasianidae.
CAGAGAUGGUUCAAGGGGUGAAAACUGUUUGCUAAGUCUGGGCAUUUGUGGAUAGUGUGAUGGUGUCCUCUAUAGUAGCAACUUGGAAGUGAAUCUGCAACCUAUGCUGACUCAGGUUUUUAAGAAGUGUAAAUGAAGAACAACUUCAAGAGUAACUGGGGAUUUGUCUCAGUUGCAUUAUUGCCAUUGAAUGUCACAUGUUUUGUAAGGAACAGAGUCAGAGAGACACAUUUCUGGAUGAGAGUGAUACAAACGAUCGUAAUAACCCUGCGCAAAGAUUCACUCUUGCCAGUGCAAAAGCCCAACAGAAUUGCCCCAGAUGAUUUCUCAGCAAAUCUAUUGGUACAGUUAUAUCAAGGGAAUAAAACCAUGUCUGCAGAUAAUUCCCAUGGUCUUAUUAUCAUUAUGGCAAAGUUAGUGUUGCCAUUGCCUUCUUCAUCUUCAGAAAAAAUGUGUUUUGCUGGAUCUCAAUAGAACUGAAAAUGCUGGUUGGAAUUUUUCCUCUG